Molecule: non-coding RNA, 73 nt
Organism: Rattus norvegicus (Norway rat)
Lineage: Eukaryota; Metazoa; Chordata; Mammalia; Rodentia; Muridae
Source: Rfam
GGAGAGGUGGCUCAGUGGUUAAGAGCACUGACUGCUCUUCCAGAGGUCCUGAGUUCAAUUCUUAGCAACCCCA